UUUCAGCUGUUAAAGGGCAAAAAGACUUUGAACCAAGGAUUUGGAUGUCUGUUUUUUGCUGAUCCCUGUAAACAAGGCAUGUACAAAGCUACCCUGAGGGAAAACCUGAAUUGCAUAUAGAAGUCACAGCCGGAGGCGAGAAGGGAACUGCAAGACGUCUUCCUAACAUUCUUUGUUUC
Long non-coding RNA from Nothoprocta perdicaria, 179 nucleotides. RefSeq lists it as uncharacterized. NCBI's taxonomy places the organism in Eukaryota, Metazoa, Chordata, Aves, Tinamiformes, Tinamidae. The record is from RefSeq and is a predicted model, not a curated record. The transcript has 3 exons.